Molecule: long non-coding RNA, 383 nt
Organism: Perca fluviatilis (European perch)
Lineage: Eukaryota; Metazoa; Chordata; Actinopteri; Perciformes; Percidae
Exons: 3
Source: RefSeq, a predicted model, not a curated record
ACCAGCCCCUCGCCCAAGACCAGCACCUCGCCCAAGACCAGCACCUUCCCCUAGACCAGCACCUUCCCCUAGACCACCCCAUCCCGCAAAACCAGCCCACCCCCCCAGACCAGCAACUUAUUACUUUAAACCUAUUCCCGAUUCCCCCAGACUCAGCUCAUGCUCAGCUGCAUAUGGAGCCUCUACCACCCAGGAAAAGACAAACGAAAGGCAGAGAAGCCUCACCCUCAACCCUUGCCAAAAAGAAGAAAACAAAAAGUUGCAAAUGCAGUCGACAGACAAUUUAUCCGUAUGAAAAAAUAUUGGAGAGACGGAUGAAUGGGGUAAGAUGUAGAAACUAUAUAUUUCAUUAGGCUGUCUGAUAAUCUCUUGACUAAUGCCUG